Molecule: unclassified non-coding RNA, 941 nt
Filed under: Hevea brasiliensis (rubber tree)
Lineage: Eukaryota; Viridiplantae; Streptophyta; Magnoliopsida; Malpighiales; Euphorbiaceae
Source: RNAcentral
UUCAGUUGUAAGAGUUUUGCUUUUGAAGGGUUUGAUCAAAGGAGACGUCUAUUUAUCCUCAGUGUUGCUACCUUCUGAAAAGCUCUUCUUGGAAAGGUUUGUGAUCAAUUAUCAAGCAGAUGUGCCUCAAUUGUUGGAUAUCUAUCAAAGAAAAAUGAGUCUUAUAGAACUUGGGUGUGGCUUUGAUGAUAAAUUGAAGAUUUCUGGGUUAAAAAUGGUCUAGCCUGCAGUAUGUCAAUCUUAAAACCAUUAAUUCCAAUUUGAUGUUGCUUUCUGGUGAUUCCCUUAAUUUCUUUGGUGCAUCGGUAAAUCUUUGAUGAGUCACUUUGAUAACUAACUUUUACUUCUCAUUAGACUAUUGUUUUUUUCCAGCUUCAAGCUGGUCAAGAUUUGAUCGUGCAUGUCAUUAAAAAAAAAAUAUAUCUAUCUUGCCAUAACUUGAGGUAAAGUGUGCAUUUGAUUGCUUGUAUCUUGUCAACCAAAAUGUUUAUAUUUUUUUGAGUGUUGAAUGCUUUAUAAAUGUGUAAAGAGGAUUAAUGAAUUGGGAUAAUCUCUAAAAAUGAAGAGAAUAAUCUCAAAUUUGUUGGCAGUUAGUACUCUUAUUUAUUAUAGUCAAGUACUUGAAUUAAAUUGGCGACUUGAGAUAGCAGCUUCACUGCACUGGAAUUCUUCCAUGAAAGAACUAAAGUGUGGGAAACUUCCUGUUAUAUUUUGUAUUGUUAAGGUCAAAGGAUCUACAGGUGCAUUUGUAACUGGGUGGUGAAAACAGGAUGCUCGGAAGAAUGAUAAUUCUUCUACAUUGGAUGAGGCAACAUCAUCGAUUUAACAGUGGUUCUGCAGACCAUAAUUUUUCAUUUGAUUUUUUGAUUCAAGCUAAAUUCUUGAUUUGAAUAAAAAAUUAAGAAGUUUAAUUUCUAAAUUUUGGAAUUAAAUUUCUUGAU